This 377-nucleotide ribosomal RNA is filed under the name uncultured bacterium. Its description in RNAcentral is "bacterial SSU rRNA". It matches the Rfam family "Bacterial small subunit ribosomal RNA", at positions 32 to 419 of the family's 1533-position model. The record is from RNAcentral.
AAUCAACGCUGGCGGCGCGCUUAACACAUGCAAGUCGAACGAGAAAGGGUAGCAAUACCUGAGUAAAGUGGCGUACGGGUGAGUAACACGUGGAUUAUCUACCUUUUAGUGGGGAAUACCUCCGGGAAACUGGAGACAAUACCGCAUAAGUCUGAAAAGAGAAAGCCGAAAGGCGCUGAAAGAGGAGUCCGCGGCUGAUUAGCUAGAUGGUGGGGUAAUGGCCCACCAUGGCGAAGAUCGGUAGCCGGCCUGAGAGGGCACACGGCCACACUGGCACUGAAACACGGGCCAGACUCCUACGGGAGGCAGCAGUGGGGAAUCUUGCACAAUGGAGGAAACUCUGAUGCAGCGACGCCGCGUGAGUGAUGAAGCCCUUC